Molecule: long non-coding RNA, 345 nt
Filed under: Aquilegia coerulea
Lineage: Eukaryota; Viridiplantae; Streptophyta; Magnoliopsida; Ranunculales; Ranunculaceae
Description: long non-coding RNA (ACOE_LNC001302)
Source: RNAcentral
AAGAAACGUGUCUCCUAUUAUUUCAGGGCUAGUAUUCCUAUCAGCUAUGCGAGUUGGUCAGGUGUGGAUGUCUCAUUUAAAGACAAAUUGUGGGAGGCCUUGAUGGUAAUAAUUUUAUUGUAAUUUUAGUGAAGUUUCACUUACCUGUAUAUUGAGUUUAUUAUUAAACUUAAUUUUUUUUUUCUAAUUAUCUUUCUCUUUUGUAAUUCAGAAGGAAUUCUACUUCAGUGUUCCUGACUACAAAGCUCGUCCAUAUGUCGAGAAAGGGUUUGCCCAAAAAUUAAGGACAAGGAAAGUAAAAUAUCGUCCACUACUAAAAGCAACUUUGGAAGAGUCUAUUGCUGG